CUACGGGACGCUCCAGUGGGGAAUAUUGCACAACGGAGGAAACUCUGAUGCAGCAACGCCGCGUGGAGGAUGACACUUUUCGGAGCGUAAACUCCUUUUAUAUAGGAAGAAGAUGACGGUACUAUAUGAAUAAGCGCCGGCUAACUCCGUGCCAGCAGCCGCGGUAAUACGGAGGGCGCAAGCGUUACUCGGAAUCACUGGGCGUAAAGAGCGUGUAGGCGGAUUAAAAAGUCAGAAGUGAAAUCCUAUAGCUUAACUAUAGAACUGCUUCUGAAACUCUUAAUCUAGAAUAUGGGAGAGGUAGAUGGAAUUUCUGGUGUAGGGGUAAAAUCCGUAGAGAUCAGAAGGAAUACCGAUUGCGAAGGCGAUCUACUAGAACAUUAUUGACGCUGAGACGCGAAAGCGUGGGGAGCAAACAGGAUUAGAUACCCGAGUAGUC
This 439-nucleotide ribosomal RNA is filed under the name uncultured bacterium. RNAcentral's name for it is "partial 16S ribosomal RNA". It matches the Rfam family "Bacterial small subunit ribosomal RNA", at positions 339 to 795 of the family's 1533-position model. The record is from RNAcentral.